AGAGUUUGAUCCUGGCUCAGAACGAACGCUGGUGGCAUGCCUAACACAUGCAAGUCGAACGAGACCUUCGGGUCUAGUGGCGCACGGGUGCGUAACGCGUGGGAAUCUGCCCUCUGGUACGGAAUAACUCAGGGAAACUUGAGCUAAUACCGUAUAAUGACUUCGGUCCAAAGAUUUAUCGCCUGAGGAUGAGCCCGCGUAGGAUUAGCUUGUUGGUGAGGUAAAAGCUCACCAAGGCGACGAUCCUUAGCUGGUCUGAGAGGAUGAUCAGCCACACUGGGACUGAGACACGGCCCAGACUCCUACGGGAGGCAGCAGUGGGGAAUAUUGGACAAUGGGCGAAAGCCUGAUCCAGCAAUGCCGCGUGAGUGAUGAAGGCCUUAGGGUUGUAAAGCUCUUUUACCCGGGAUGAUAAUGACAGUACCGGGAGAAUAAGCCCCGGCUAACUCCGUGCCAGCCGCCGCGGUAAUAC
This 472-nucleotide ribosomal RNA is filed under the name uncultured bacterium. RNAcentral describes it as "bacterial SSU rRNA". It matches the Rfam family "Bacterial small subunit ribosomal RNA", at positions 8 to 526 of the family's 1533-position model. The record is from RNAcentral.